GAUGAAGAACGCAGCGAAAUGCGAUACGUAAUGUGAAUUGCAGAAUUCAGUGAAUCAUCGAGUCUUUGAACGCACAUUGCGCCCCCUGGUAUUCCGGGGGGCAUGCCUGUCCGAGCGUCAUUGCUGCCCUCAAGCACGGCUUGUGUGUUGGGCCUCCGUCCUCCUCCCGGGGGACGGGCCCGAAAGGCAGCGGCGGCACCGCGUCCGGUCCUCGAGCGUAUGGGGCUUCGUCACCCGCUCUUGUAGGCCCGGCGGGCGCUUGCCGACACAUCAAUCUUUUUUCCAGGUUGACCUCGGAUCAGGUAGGGAUACCCGCUGAACUUAAGCAUAUCAAUAAGCGGAGGA
Molecule: unclassified non-coding RNA, 345 nt
Filed under: soil metagenome
Description: partial contains 5.8S ribosomal RNA, internal transcribed spacer 2, and large subunit ribosomal RNA
Rfam family: 5.8S ribosomal RNA (bases 1-120)
Source: RNAcentral